GCCUCCACGAGGACACAGGAUCGAUCCCUGGCCUCACUCAGUAGGUUAAGGAUCAGGCGUUGCCAUGAGCUAUGGCGGAGGUCACAGACGCGGCUCGGAUCUGGAGGUGCUGUGGCUCUGGCGUAGGCUGGCAGCUACGGCUUCGAUUGGACCCCUAGCCCGAGAACCACCAUAUACUGCAGGUGAGGCCCUAAAAAGACAAAAAAUCCAAUUAGAUCAAACAUGGGAAUGAUCCUCCUUGCUUGUCCUCCUUCCUUGCUCUUCUAGGAGGAUGACUCAGCCCCACCACAGCCCCAGAAUUUAAGCACAUCCCCAGGAGCUUCCAUUGCAGCUCAGUGGUAAUGAUCCGGACUGGUAUCCAUGAGGACACGGGUUCGAUCCCUGGCCUCGCUCAGUGGGUUAAGGAUCUGGCAUUAUUGUGAACUGUGGUGUAGGUUGCAGACGUGGCUCAGAUCUGGUGAGGCUGUGGCUGUGGCUAAGCCGGCAGCUGUAGCUCUGAUUUGACCCCUAGCCUGGGAACCUUCAUAUACUGUGAAUGUAGCCCUUAAAAAGCAUUUAAAAAAAAAAAAAAAGAAAGAAAAAAAAGAUAAGGCUCGAGGAGUUGUCUGGUAGCCUAUGGUUAAGGACCUACCAUUGCCAAGGCUGUGGUUUGGGUCACUGUUGCAGCACGAGUUUGAUCCCUGGCAUGGCCAUUUUUAUAUGUUGCAGGCACAGCCAAAAAAAAAUUUUUUUUUUAAAUAAAAAGGCAUGGGGGAAACUAUCACAAAUUUUCAAGUCAGGGGGGUGAAAUCACAGGUUUCUGUACAUGAUCCCAACUGACACAGAAAGUCUUGAGAACCAGCGUGUGAACCUCGCCUGACAGGCUGAGACGACGUGCUUUUGGCUUCUUGAACAUGAAGGCCUCCCGAGGAGAACAGACUACAAAAUACUCCAACAAAAGCAGGAGUUUAAAGGCAAAUGUCCAGGGAGAUUCGAGAAGAAAGGAGCUGUGUAACUACCAAGGUUGUCACCAUCCCUUGCUGAAACGGUUUCUUUUCUUCUUCUUCUUCUUUUUAACUUUUUAGGGCCGCACCCACAGCGUAUGGGGUCAAAUUGGAGCUGUGACCACCGGCCUCCACCACAGCCACAACAACGUGGGAUCCGAGUCGUGUCUACAACCUACACCACAGCUCACGGCAAGGCCAAACCCAUCAGACUCACUUCCGCGGAGCCAUCACGGGAGCUCCUGGAAGUGGUUUCGGAGUCGUCAGGGCUGUGAUGGCCUAAGAACAUCUGUCCAUAGAGAAAGGGGUGUUAUGUUGACAGUGUAAGUAUCGAGGUGGAAGGCGGAGGAGGGCUGAGUGGAAAAGUGCUGUGGAGACGGGGAAGUUCAGGACAAUAAACGAAAUAUGCCAGGAAAUAACAGUGUGUCCACCCACAUCAAGGGAGGAAGAUGGGGCCCGAGAAAGAGCCUGAGGAGGGACAGGUGGGUGCCCACGAGGGAGCACGGGGCUCAGCUUGUGACGGUGCACAUGUGUGAGAACAAAACUGCACGGGGGCAACUGAGACACUGACCUUUAAGAAAAAGAAGAGUUGAUUUAGCAAGUCGCAUACAACGGUCCCAUUUUAACUCCCGUUUUAACUCCAGGACUUCUUUUAUGAGUAAGGGAAAGAAUGAAAGAUUUACAUGUUGUAAGUUGAUGGCGUUCCCGUGGUGGCGCAGUGGUUAAUGAAUCCGACUAGGAACCAUGAGGUUGCGGGUUCGAUCCCUGGCCUUGCUCCGUGGCUUAAGGAUCCAGUGUUGCCGUGAGUUGUGGUGUAGGUUGCAGAUGCCACUCGGAUCCAGCAUUGCCGUGGCUGUGGCGUAGGCUGACGGCUACAGCUCUGAUUUGACCCCUAGCCUGGGAACCUCCAUAUGCCGCGGGAAGUGGCCCUAGAAAAGGCAAAACAGACAGACAAACAAAAAAACGUUGUAAGUUGAAAUGAACUUGACAUCUGUUACACGACUUGCCACGUCAUAUAUCAACCUGAUUAUUGCACAGGUUGUAUUUCCGUGUGUCGACUCACUAAAAACAUACAUCAUAUUCCCAGAGAGGACGAGAUGAUGUUCUUAGCAUUUCUGAAACCAGGAAAACGCCCCCAGGAACUGGCUCUCUCUGGGUGAGGAUCCAAAACAGAAAAGUAUGUGCACUACAAACUAGAGACGCGGCUGAAAAAUACGAGAAAAUAUGAGAAAAGUUAUCCCCACUUCUUGGGCUGGAAGUCAGUAUCAUCGGAAUGUAAAUACCACCCUACAUAAGCAGCAGAGUCUACCCAGUCGCUACUAACAUCCCAAGGGUGUCCUGAAGAAAUAGGUAAAAGUCACACGCAAUCUCAAAAGAUGCUCCACACAGAAAACAAGAUUGAAAAGAAUGAAGCUGGAAGCUUCACAAUUAUUCCAAACCUCUUAGCAACCUAAAAUACCCAAAGCAGUGCAGUCCUGGCAUGAUGGCAGAGAGAUCAAUGGCAUCCAACAGAGAAAACAAAUAAACGCUUGCGUAUGGGGUCAAAGGAUGUUCCCCAAGGGUGCCAGGAACAUUAACUGGGGAAGGAUCGUCUAUUGAGCAAAAUGAAUUCUGGUUCACACUGAGAUGUCAUUCUAGGAGUUCCCGUUGUGGCUCAGCAGUAGCAAAUCCGACCAGGAACCAUGAGGACGCAGGUUCAAUCCCUGGCCUUGCUCAGUGGGCGAAGGAUCUGGCGUUGCUAUGACCUGUGGUGUAGGCUGCAGACAUGGUUUAGAUCCCACGUUGCUGUGGCUGUGGCCGGCAGCUCCAGCUCCAAUUCAACCCCUAACCUAGGAACUUCCGUGUGCCAAGAGUGUGGCCCUAAAAAGACCAAAAAAAAAAAAAAAAAAAAA
This 2875-nucleotide long non-coding RNA is filed under the name Sus scrofa (pig). RNAcentral's name for it is "lncRNA (ENSSSCG00040017411.1)". The record is from RNAcentral. Lineage: Eukaryota; Metazoa; Chordata; Mammalia; Artiodactyla; Suidae.